This 734-nucleotide ribosomal RNA is filed under the name uncultured cyanobacterium. RNAcentral's name for it is "bacterial SSU rRNA". It matches the Rfam family "Bacterial small subunit ribosomal RNA", at positions 12 to 819 of the family's 1533-position model. Lineage: Bacteria; Bacillati; Cyanobacteriota. The record is from RNAcentral.
UUUGAUCCUGGCUCAGGAUGAACGCUGGCGGUAUGCUUAACACAUGCAAGUCGAACGGAUGUUUUCGGACAAUCUAGCUUCAGGUUGGGGACAACAGUUGGAAACGACUGCUAAUACCGAAUGUGCCGAGAGGUGAAAGAUUUAUUGCCUGAAGAAGAGCUCGCGUCUGAUUAGCUAGUUGGUGGGGUAAGAGCUUACCAAGGCGACGAUCGGUAGCUGGUCUGAGAGGACGAUCAGCCACACUGGGACUGAGACACGGCCCAGACUCCUACGGGAGGCAGCAGUGGGGAAUUUUCCGCAAUGGGCGAAAGCCUGACGGAGCAAUACCGCGUGAGGGAAGAAGGCUCUUGGGUUGUAAACCUCUUUUCUGAGGGAAGAAAAAAAUGACGGUACCUCAGGAAUCAGCAUCGGCUAACUCCGUGCCAGCAGCCGCGGUAAUACGGAGGAUGCAAGCGUUAUCCGGAAUGAUUGGGCGUAAAGCGUCCGCAGGUGGCAUAUCAAGUCUGCGGUUAAAGGUUCUGGCUCAACCAGAGACAGGCCGUGGAAACUGAUAAGCUAGAGUAUGGUAGGGGCAGAGGGAAUUCCCAGUGUAGCGGUGAAAUGCGUAGAGAUUGGGAAGAACACCGGUGGCGAAAGCGCUCUGCUAGGCCAAAACUGACACUGAGGGACGAAAGCUAGGGGAGCGAAUGGGAUUAGAUACCCCAGUAGUCCUAGCCGUAAACGAUGGAUACUAG